Non-coding RNA from Pogona vitticeps (central bearded dragon), 482 nucleotides. The record is from RefSeq and is a predicted model, not a curated record. Lineage: Eukaryota; Metazoa; Chordata; Lepidosauria; Squamata; Agamidae.
CUUGGAAAACUCUCAUUUUAUUUUCCCAAACUAGAAAACUCACCAGAAGCUGGCAGAUGAGAAGAGUCUCUACGUAGUAGAAUUUCGGGACGAAUGUGGCCCACUGCCCAUCGUUGUUGCAAAGCCCCAAGGGCCGGUGAGGGAAGAUCCUGAGCCUGAGGAUGAAGUUUCUGAUAUCAUACCAGAGUGGAGAGAAGUGAAGGCUGCCCAGGGAGCAAAGAGUCGCUGGGCAAAUCUCAAAAGAACAAUUUGGUGAAGACGGCUGAAUGUUUUCGUUGUGCGGCCUCUCAACGGCUGCUGCUGCAGCAACUUAGUAGCCGAAAAGAACUUGGUCAUGCCUUUCCCAUUUCCCAUCAUUUUGAACGCAAAUGGUGGGUGUGCCUAUGGACGAGAGGGAGAACUUUUGUCUUGCGGGUCAGGAAAGCAGGUAUGGUGAAGCUAUCAAAUAACACACUUCGAAAUAAAGUUGUAAUCAAAUGCCA